Small nucleolar RNA from Ochotona princeps (American pika), 90 nucleotides. Ensembl annotates it as small nucleolar RNA, C/D box 12B. Its record names the gene SNORD12B. The record is from Ensembl. NCBI's taxonomy places the organism in Eukaryota, Metazoa, Chordata, Mammalia, Lagomorpha, Ochotonidae.
GCUGGCAUGUGUGAUGACUGAAUUUUUUCCCCGGCAGAUCGACCAUGUUGAUCUAACUUCUCUAAGCCAGUUUCUGUCUGACCUGCCAGC